UGCUGCUAAGAUAACUGAACUUGUUUACUGAUGAAAUGCUGUGAAGUUGUGUUUGUACUCUUGUACAGCUAGGUAUGAGAUGAUGUAAGUUACAAGUUGUUUCUUGUAUUCUGGAUUUGUCAUCCUAGACGGUGCAACUCAGUCUAAAAUAUAGUUUCAAGUGAAGAUCAAAGUAGACUUAGAAGCUACAGAAAUGAACAGAACAAAUUCUUCCUGGACCUACAUUUUCUCAGUUGUGACUUCACCUCAUAGUUAUUUAUUUUGCUAAAUUGAUUUGCUUUUUCUAGGAUGUUACAUUAGCAGCAUAGCUAUACAAAUAACUGAUGAGUAUACUUAUGUCAUUAAUUCAUUUGUUUUUGUCUUUGUGCUUUGUUCGUUUAGUUUUUGUUCUUAUUCAUUUAGAUGUACUGUAUCCUGAAACAUAGUUAAAUUCUAAUACUAAUACAAUGUGUAUUUUGCUCAUUCAUUAGGUUGACUCAACUGCUUGCGAAUCAUCAGGACAAGUUACCAAUCUUAAGUCCCAGUUGUCAUCAUUGGAGAGAGGGAAUGUUGAACUUAGGAGGCAGAUUAAUGAACUAUCCAUGAAACUUCAAAUAGCUGGACAAGGAAAAGAUGAGACUUUGUACAAGCCUGGUCCGUUCGGAACUGUCAAAGCUUUGAGAACAAAUCCAACUGUAACCCCUGAUGAAUCUGUUAAUCCCAGGUUGGCCAAGAUAUUGGAAGAGGUUGCUGUGAAAAAGGAACUCAUUGUUGCAUUGGCAAACACCAACGUGAGGGAGAUGCUCGAAGUUUGGUUUACCAAUAUCAAACGAGUUGGUAUUCCAAACUACCUGGUUGUGGCGUUGGAUGAUAAUAUAGAAAGCUUAUGCAAAUCUAAAGGGGUUCCAGUCUACCGGCGUGAUCCUGAUGAAGGCAUCGAUAACAUUGCAAAAACUGGUGGAAACCAUGCCGUCUCUGGACUUAAGUUUCGUGUUUUAAGGGAGUUCUUGCAACUUGGAUAUAGUAUUCUCCUCUCUGACAUUGAUAUUAUUUUCUUGAGGAAUCCAUUUGAUCACCUUUACAGAGAUUCUGAUGUGGAGUCCAUGAGUGAUGGCCACAACAACAUGACAGCUUAUGGUUUCAACGACGUGUUUGAUGAGCCUUCUAUGGGUUGGGCCAGAUAUGCUCACACAAUGCGGAUUUGGGUUCACAACUCUGGGUUUUUCUAUAUUAGACCAACAAUUCCUUCUAUUGAACUUCUGGAUCGAGUGGCUGGACACCUUUCUCGUGAGCCAAAGUCAUGGGACCAGGCAGUUUUCAACGAGGAGCUGUUCUUCCCGUCUCAUCCUGGUUAUGAAGGCCUUCAUGCAUCCAGGAGAACCAUGGAUAUUUAUCUUUUCAUGAACAGCAAAGUCCUCUUCAAGACAGUGAGGAAAGACGCUCAGCUCAAGAAGCUAAAGCCAGUGAUUGUGCAUUUGAACUACCAUCCUGACAAGUUAGAGCGAAUGAAAGCAGUUAUCGAAUUCUAUGUCAACGGCAAACAAGAUGCACUGCGUCAUUUCCCUGAUGGGUCAGAAUGAGGAAAUUACAGAUUUUGCCGGUAAAGAAACCUAUACCCUCUGUAUCCUACUCAUUUUGGUGUUGUCCUGGCAUUUGGAUCUACAUGUGGCCGAUGUGGGAUCUUCACACGUGCGAGAAUGUUUGGCGAGUGCAAUAUGGAUGCAUUGACCUUUAGCUAUUUGGAUUGGAUAUCUCCUUGGUCUCUAGUCUAGUAGUCUCUACUAACCUUAACAGUUCUGUAGCAAAUUUGUACAAGCUUAGAUAGAUGGCUGAUCACAUUUUUCUUUACCGUAUGAUCUUUUGAGGUACGAAUUUAGGAAAUGGAGGCGGUUUCUUCUGAACUAGUGAUACGAUUUUAUGCUGGUGUUUUCUUGUGAAUUGAGAACCUUUUACAGUUCCAAUUUAUUUAUUAAUUUUGAUAUUAUCCGCAGUUGAAGCACUGUUGUGGACAGGAUUUGAGCACAGGAUUCUUUGGUCUCCCGUGCCUCCCGUGCCUGUCAUGCGUUCUUUGGUCUAGAGGUAGUACAACUAGUGAUGUGAUCUGUUUGUUUGUUUCUGCCGCGUCGCUUGAACAAAAGGCAACGUGGGGAACACGUAGUCGGGUAUGGAUUCCCAACAUAUGUCCGUUCGUCCGAUGCUAACGUCGGCCUGGUGCCUCUUAUAGUGUAUAGCGGGCCAUGCGUUAUCACCUCGCCUAAGGCUGGUGUGACAAUACCGACUUGUCUCACACUAUGACCUUAUUUAGUUCCCAAAAUAUUUUGUAAAAUUUUUCAUAUUCUCUAUCACAUUAAAUCUUGUGGCAUAUACAUAGAGCACUAAAUAUAGAUAAAAAAUAACUAAUUGUAUAGUUUAUUUGUAAUUUGCGAAACGAAUCUUUUGAGCCUAGUUAAUCCAUGAUUGGACAAUAUUUGUCAAAUACAAAUGAAAAUACUACUCUUCAUAUUUUGCAAAAAAAAUUGGAAGUAAACAAGACCUAUUUUGCUUCACGUUGUUUAGCUCUGCUCUAUAUAUUUUUUUAGCUAAAUAGGUAUAGCUUAAAAAAUUCUGCUCAGCACCUAAAUAGAUGUUUUAGAAACUUUCUUUUAUGGAACUGCUAUUUAAUAGAGUUUAUGGAGCAAAGUUAGUGAAACAGCACCAAACAAACCCUUAAUACUUCUAAAAAAAUUGAAACCAUGCACAUCCAUAGUGUAUCUGUUGAUGAACAUUGGCAUAAAAUUUGAGAUUCAAACUUUAUUCAAAAAAAAUCAUAUGAAAAUAACAAAUUUCAGAUGCAUAUGCACCUAAAAUUUAUUAUUUUCGUAUGUAUUUUUACAAAACAAGUUUGAAUCUAUUUUUUUGUGGCAAGUAUUCAUCAAUAGAUGCACUAUGGAUGUGCAUAGUUUCAAACAUUUUGAAAACUUUUAAUUAUGUUUUCCAAUGGGUUUUCAUGAUUUGCAUUGAGGAUAUGGUUUGCACUAAAAAUUUCACCUAGUUAGUCAAUGGAUUCAUUUAUUUUUCUUAUAUAAUAAAAAAAGAAGACAAAGGUGGUCAAUAAAGGAUUAUAAUCUCGCUUGUCCGAACUCAUCAAUGUCCUUGUGCUGCAUGUCAUAGUUACAACAUCGUUUAGAUGGGGAUGAACCAAAGAAUAUGGUGCAACGAAAUUAUCUCAUCUACUACUCUUCCGUUACCGAAUCACCUUGUCCCACAUGUCAAGGUAGUGUCUGGUUCAAAGUCAUUAUGAAGAAGUAUAUAUCUCUCUAGAUACCAAACAACACCGUCCCAACAUAAAACGGAGGUACCAACCCAUUCCACUUGCACGUGCGUGAGUGUUCGUAUGUGCUUCCCUGUUCUCUACGUCAAACCAUGAACUAGAGCCCAUAGGGGCAAUGGCAAGCAUACUGGUGGCGAGGCAAGUAAGGGCGAGGCGGGGUGCCUGGCGAAGACAAACACGUCACCAGCCAGGGAUGAGUGCAAACAUACGAAUAUGAGCAAAGGAACACAAAGUGGGGGACAACAUCGUCCCAACACAAAACGGAGGUACCAACCCAUUCCACUUUGCAUGUGCGUGAGUGUUCAUAAGUGCUUCCCUGUUCUCUAUGUCAAACCAUGAGCUAGGGCCCAUAGGGGCAAUGGCAAGCAUACUGGUGGCGAGGCAAGUAAGGGCGAGGCGAGAUGCGUGGAGAAGGCAAACACAUCAUUAGCCAGGGAUGAGUGAAAACAUACAGAUAUGAUCAAAGGGACACAAGUGGGGGAGCGGCCAACAAGGGGGGAAGCUUCUUCAAUAUGCAUCAAUCCCAGCAAAGGGAGCGCCUAUGCUCCAUGCGCAUAGGACAAUGGAAAAAGAUAAGGCACAGAGAUAGCAGACGAGCCUAUGGAUGACAUGUGGGUCCUAUAAUAUAACUAUCUUGCUAAUGUUAUGAUAAAUAAAAAAGAGUGGCGACCUGUCCCUCCAACUAAACAACAAAGUGGGACCAUUCCAUCCCCUGGUUUCCAAACCAAACACAAUGUCUACCUCCUACCUUCUUACUUCACUCUCCUUGAUACUUUAAAAGGUCCCCCCUCCAAGUCUAGCAGACAUCAAACCCAAGUUCAUCAAGAAGGAAGUUUGGCAUGUUAUUCUGGUUGGGGUCUAGGCACCAAGAGGAGACAUUAAAAUAUGAGUGACUAUUAUCAUUGUGUUGUGUUUCCCCAUUCUGAAACUCUUUGGACUCUUUUAGUUCUAGGGCCAACUUACAAACCUGUGGAGUGGGCACAAUUUCUCGGUACAUGGCCUUCUAGAAUCAACUAGGUACCCCCUUUGUUCCAAAUUAUAAGUUAUUUGAAGAGUUAAAAAAUUUCAAGUUUGACUAAAAUUAUAGAGAAAAUUAUAAUUUUUUUUGAUAUUAAAUAGGUAUACUAUAAAAAUAUAAUUGAUGAAGAAUCUAAUGAUACUUAGCAUCAUAAAUUUUAUUAUCUUAUCAUAUAAAUUUGGUUAAAUUUAAAAUGUUUUGAGCUCAAAAUUCUUAUAAAACAACUUAUAAUUUGGAAUAAAGUGAGUAGCAACUAUUGUGGCAGUUCCUUUAUUAUUCGUAAACUAGCAUGGAGAAGCGGCAACACAAAAAUCUCAACGCAAUGUAAUAGUUACAUGUUCGGCUCAUGGACUUAAUCACUGGUUUUGAACACAAGUUGCAAACUCCAAAGUGAGCCCGGUUGUGGACUAUUUGCGGAGACCAGGGGCCUAGGUAAGCCGCGGCAGGCCACGAGCAAAAAUAUCAAAGAAGCUCGAUCUUUCUCCUAGACGCGUGACGGAAAAAUGCUUUUCCUUUUUUACACAAACCGAAAGGUAAAGUAAAUUGCGACAAAAAAAAAGAAAAAGAAAUUAAAAAAAACACCCGACGAGUCAAUGAACAACAGCGGCACAUCAGCAUCGGAAGAGAAAAGAAAAGAAAAAUAUGCGGAGAAACCAAACCAGAAACGUGCGUGGCGCGGCCCUCCCGCGCGUCGCUCUCGUCCACCUCCCUCUCUCUCUCUCCCCCUGUGUCGCCGCGCGCGGAAGGCGUUAUCGCCUUGUCCUUCCUCUCCCUUCUCCCUGGUUUCUAUUCCCCUCCUCGCUUCUCUCCGGAAGGGGAAAAAAUUCCCAAUCCCUCUCCGGAAUCCACCGAUCCUCGGCCGCGCCGGGGCCCUAGGCGCCACCGUCGUCGCGCCCCCGCCGCGGCCGGCCACAGGACCACUCGCUGUCGGCCCUUCCGGACCCGGCGCCGCCUCCGCUGGUGCCCAGGUAAGGGGGUUCGUCGCGCCUUUUGUUUCCUGCCGCCUCACGUACGCGACUCUUGUUUCAGUAGUUUUGGUCGGGUAACCAGCUGUCUAUAUUUCACCUUGCGAUUCACGCUGAUAUUGAGCUUAGCGUGCGUAAUCAUAACCGAAUUCAGCCCAAUCAGUUAUGUAGGAUGCCUGGCGUUUUCCCUUUAGGAACAUGCGCUCGUAGUUAGUUCUGUCGGAGGACAUUGGUGGGGUCUGAGUAUUGAUCAACUUAACUAGUGAUUUUCCCUACGUUAUCUAUUUUGGCCCAUUAAAUUUGGUUGGGGAUCCAUUCAUAUUUCCCUUCCUAUUUCUGGUUCACUGGCUGGGGUGCCUCCGGGGAAAUGUAGAAAGAAGAUUAUAACACUCUAACAUCCAUCGGGAGGCAAGUUCAUUCACCUACCUAGUGGUUCUGGUAUUUGAGCAUGGCUAUAUAAAAUCAUAAAAUGUUGAUUGUGGUCGAGGCUUCGGAUCAAAUGAUAAUGUAUUGGCUAGGUAGCCAAAGUUUUUCUGUUCAGCUUGUUGGUAAAAUAUUAAGCAACGAUCUGUAGGAAAGACUUGAAACAAACUAAAUAUUGGCUAAAUAACUAGUGCAGCGUUUACAAUUUUCUGGCAGGCUAAAUGAGUUCCAUAGAAGCAAACAUGCACACAUCACUUAUUUUGCCCCCAUAUUGACAUAGCAUUAACGUUUUUUUCCCCUGUAGAAUUAUCAUAGCUGAUGAACUUAGGUUCCCAUUUUCAAAUAGCCAAGACUAUUGCUACUGAAAUGAAAUAAUCAUAGCGAUAUUAACUGCAGCUUCUAUCUUUGCAAACUGAUUGUAGUUUAGUGAGUACACUUAGUCUUUUAACAGUUUUGAGGCGCACUUAGUUUCUUAUCUGCCUUCCACCAUAGCCUUUGUGGUGCUGAUGCUCCAUCUCUGCAAGAGGAAUGGAAUACUAUUACUUUAUACUCUGAAUAAGAUCAUGUAAAUGACAAUUUGACAGCUCAAAAAAAAUCACCUGUUCUAACUUCUAACUGUGUUUGUAUUUCAGGGGUGUAAGCUAGCACAUAUUACACAUCAGUGACUGAUUAAAGACUGUGUCCAGUGGAUGUGAGUUUCAUUCAGUUUGAGUUUGGCUUGAGAUGACAGUUGGAUUGACAUCUCAUCUGUUCCAAAGAGUAACUGCUACUGACAUAUUUUGCCAAAGGAACAAAUUUAGGGUACACAUUCCUCCUUGCUUUUCUUGUACUAAGACAUAGUCCUUUUUGUUAUUAUUUUAUGAUUUUUCUUCUUCUUUUUUUCUUCAGAGUCCUGAGAUGAGGAGUUCUCUUCCCUUGCCAUCCACCUCGUUUCCUUCAGUUGCUGAUGUAUGGCCCAUUCUUUUUAAUUGCUAUAAGCCAACAGCACAGUACAUUCAUUUGUGACCAAUUUCUGAAGGUGGACAAUGACUAGUAUGCCUCUUUUAUCAUGCAGAAGACAUCAGAGAUUUUUUGUGUAUCAGUUUGUUCACUUUUCUUUUGUUUUCGAAAUUUUAAAUAUGGUCAGUACAACCAAUUUAGCUGGAGCACAUGGUUUCUUCCAAGUUUGUGGAUGUGUGGCAAAAAGAAUUAAGUAAUCAUUACUGUCUUUUAAUCUGUUUCUACAUGAGAGAAACAGACAACUCUCCAUGUAGAUAUCGAUUUUAAACCUAUUUUUGUUUUGCAAAAUUUUCUUAUCUAUGUUAGACCUACUCCAAAAGAAUAUUUGAGUGUAGUUGGUUUGAGUUAUGUAGAUCACACAGCCACACACCAUACCACAAGGCAUUAGCAAUACUCACUGGUCACUAGGAAAUACAGAUAAACAAUAUGGUGCUGCAUUUGAUUGUAAAGGUGUUUUGUGACCUAAAGUUUAUCUGCACCCCUUCUGAUCAAUAGGCUAGACACCAUAUUAUAUCAUUACUAUCAUAUUUUUUAAUUAGUUUGAGAAAUGAGAACUAAUUGAUGUUGAUAACUGUAAUGUAUUUUGCCAGCACCUGCAUCCAGUGCCUACGCAUAAAAGCAACAAUUUUUUUUUUGAACCAGAACAAUGUUCUUUAUUAAAUCAUACUCUUAUAUAUGCACUUUUGGGAGUUGGAGUAAAAAUCUGUCGACCUUAUGAAAAUGACAUAUUUAGGGCCUGUUUGGUGCAGCUCACAACAGCUUCAUGAGCUGUGGUGAGCUGUUUUUUUUUUGCCAAACAUUUAUUUCUAAAACAGCUUCAUAGGUGAAGCUGUUUUUCUUCUCCUCUCACAAAGACAUGAGUUGGGAUGAAGCUGAAAAAAGUAGCUUAUUGUAGCUCUCUCCCUCAUUUCUCUCUCAUCUAUACAAGAAGUAGUUGGUGAAGCUAUUUUACCGAACACUUUUUUCAAAAUAGCUCAGCUUCAUCUAGAAAGUUGCUUAUGAAGCUAUUUUCUAAAAAAACAGCUUUACUAGUGAAGUUGAGCUGUGCCAAACAAGCCCUAGUUCGAUUGCUAAAACUACUUUACAGCAUUUCUGGUUAUAGUUUUUUAUCAACAUUUUGGCAUGAAUACUAUCUUCAAAUGUGUGCUUUUGUCCAACCAUAAAAACUUACAUUUAGGUAUAAAAGAACUAUUUAUGUAGAACUGGAUACUUGUCAUACUUCACCCCUCACAAUCUAAUGUGUAAUUACAGCCUCCUCUUGUUUCAUCCUAACUUGAGUCUUACAUUUGUUCCAAGAUAACAGCUCUGUUAUAUUCUAUCGUUGUAUGACAUUAUAGUUCUUUUUUUUUUCUUUCUAAAUUUCGCAAGUACAGUAGUUAAAAACAGAGUUACUUAGACCUGACUACACGUGUUGGUGUCUGAUUCUGGUGUGGGUCUGACUUAGCAAAAACAUUUUAUUGCCAUACAAAAUACCACAUGGAAGUCAUCAUGUCUGGCUGGGAAACCCUUUUUAGGACUAUGGUGUCCAAGUUGUACAGGUUAAAAGGUCACUGGUUUUGCCUCCUCAUUGUAGAUCUUACAGAGUAACUCUGGUUUUCUUUGCAGAGGCGAUACUGUUGGGAUCACAAUAUGUUAGAGAGUAGCUACAGGCCCAUGCUUUAUACACCUCGCAGAUACAGAUCUUUGGGCUUCAGAUCUUGUGCCUUGCCAGUUCCUUUGAAGGAAAUUCCUCUUGUCAAGAAUGCAUCAUUAGCACUAACUAGGUAAUUCCCUUGUACAAUUCUUUAUUUAUGAACUUUCUGAUUACACAGACUUGGUAAUGAGCAAACAGUGAAACAGUAGUUUGGAUCGGAUCCUACCAUUGUCGUGUCGUGUGAGUGCAAACGCAGUUAAUCAGGACAUUGGAGAAAGUCAUCUAUGUUAGAAUGUCUGUUUUUCCAUAAUUGGGCUUACCCUAACCAGGGUGGCCAUAUAGUUAGGGAUACAUGGGCCUCAUGGGCCUAGCCUCAUGGGCCUAAUACUCAUAUACUCUAACAUCCCCCCGCAGUCUGAACUACCGUCGCAGCGGAGUUCGCAGACUGGAGACGAAAGAAAAGAGGUACAACACACGAGCCCCCCCACAGACACAACUAGCCACUGGUGAUGUUGAGGCUGGAGCGGAACUCGGUGAAGGUUGAGGACGGGAGACCCUUGGUGAAGAUGUCGGCGAACUGGGAGGUGGUCGGGACGUGGAGGACCCGAACAUCGCCGACAGCGACCCGGUCCCGGACGAAGUGUAGAUCGAUCUCCACAUGCUUGGUCCUCUGGUGCUGCACAGGGUUGGUGGAGAGGUACACCGCACUGACGUUGUCGCAGUAGACCAGCGCGCUCCGGGAGAGAGGGCUGUGGAGCUCGGUGAGGAGCUGCCGGAGCCAGGAAGCCUCAGCCACGCCGUUGGCGACAGCACGGUACUCCGCCUCGGCACUGGAGCGGGAGACGACCGGCUGGCGCUUGGACGACCAAGACACCAGGUUGCCGCCUAAGAAGACGGCGUAGCCGGAGGUGGAGCGGCGGGUGUCCGGGCACCCGGCCCAGUCGGCGUCGGUGUAGACGACGAGCUCGGUGGAAGACGACCGUUGGUGAAGGAGAAGACCAAAGUCGACUGUGCCGCGGAGGUACCGUAGGAUCCGUUUGAGAGCGGUGAGGUGUGGCUCCCUGGGAUCAUGCAUAUGGAGGCAGAUCUGCUGAACUGCAUACGUGAUAUCCGGCCGGGUGAAGGUGAGGUACUGAAGUGCCCCGGCAAGACUCCGAUAUGCAGUGGGAUCUGUCACUGGUAUACCCUCAGCCUCCGAGAUCUUGCCCUGGGUGUCAACUGGAGUGGAGCAGGGCUUGCAGUCAGUCAUCCCAGCUCUCUCCAGGAUAUCAAGAGUGUACUGCCGCUGGUGAAGGAGUAAUCCAGCAGGGUGAGGCUCAACAGUAACCCCGAGGAAGUGAUGUAGUGUACCCAGAUCCUUCAUAGCAAACUCCUGCUGAAGAGAGGCGAUGAUCCGCCGAAGGAGUGACUCAGUGGAGGCUGUGAGGACAAUGUCAUCAACAUAGAGCAGCAGAUAUGCAGUCUCAGCCCCAUGGUGAUAGAUGAACAGAGAGGUAUCUGACUUGGCCUCCACAAACCCCAGAGUCAGUAGAAAAGCAGCAAACCGAUGGUUCCACGCCCGGGGGGCCUGCUUGAGGCUGUAGAGAGACUUGUUGAGCCGACACACCAUGUCUGGACGAGAAGAGUCAACAAACCCCGCCGGCUGACUGCAGUAGACUGUCUCAGUAAGAACGCCAUGUAGGAAGGCAUUCUUGACGUCCAGCUGAUGCACGGGCCACCCGCGUGUGAGAGCUAGCGAGAGCACCGUGCGGACAGUGGCCGGCUUCACCACCGGGCUGAAGGUCUCGUCGUAGUCGACACCGGGCCGCUGAGUGAAGCCCCGGAGAACCCAGCGAGCCUUGUACCGCUCAAGGGUGCCGUCAGCCCGGCGCUUGUGGGUCCAGAUCCACUUGCCGGUGACGAUGUUGGAGCCCGGCGGUCGUGGCACCAGAUCCCAUGUUUGGUUGGCGAGGAGGGCCGCGUAUUCCUCUUCCAUCGCGCGGCGCCAGUGAGGGUCCAGCAAGGCCUCGCGGACGGAAGAGGGUACCGGUGAGACCUGCGAGUCCCCGGGCAUCGCCGCAAGAGCCCGAGGCUGCAGGGUCCCAGCCGCGUGUCGCGUCACCAUCGGGUGAACAUGACGCGGGUGUCGGUGAAGGAGCGGUGGGUGGUACACCGGCGUCGUGGCCCGAGAGGCUGGGUGCCUCAGCGGCGGGGUCGGUGUCGCCGGCGGGGAAGACGUCGCCGGUGGCGCAGGUGACCCCGGCGAAGAGGGGGCCACCGGCGCCGCCGGAGGCAGCGGCGCCAGCCGGGCACGUCGCUGGUAGACGCGCACCGGCUGGGCGAAACGUGCCGGUGGGGCUGGUGUCGAAGGUGCCGACCCGAGACCCGCGUCAGGCUCCGGGGCCGGGCUGGAAGGUGACCCCUCGGGACCCGGGCAGGGUAGAGGCCCCGAGGUGUCACGAGCGACAGGCGACGUAGAAGUACCUGCAGGAAACACCGGGAAAGGUGGCUCGACCACCGGGUCAGUAGGAAACACAGAGGAGAGGUCAAGCUCCGAGGUGGAAGCAGGAGUGGUAGUGGUGGAAAAGGGGAAGAUCGACUCGUCGAACACCACAUGUCGAGAUAUGAGGACUCGACGAGAGGUAAGGUCGUAGCAUCGGUACCCCUUGUGAUCCGGGGAGUACCCAAGGAAGACACAGAGGGUCGAACGGGGUGCCAGCUUGUGAGGAGCAGUGGCGGUGGUGUUGGGGUAACACGCACACCCAAAGACUCGAAGGUGAUCAUAGCGAGGAGGGGUACCAAAGAGAGCGUGGUGUGGUGUGGGAGCUGGACAAGCAGCGGAAGGAAGGCGGUUAAGGAGGUAAGUGGAGGUGUGCAAGCUCUCGGCCCAGAAGCGAGCAGGAAGAGAGGCCUGGAGCAGGAGAGUGCGCAGGGUGUCGUUGGUGGUGCGAAUCAUGCGCUCAGCCUUGCCGUUCUGGGAGGAGGUAUACGGACAAGACAUGCGCAAAUGGACACCGUGAGAGAGAAAGAAGGCGCGGGAGGUGGAGUUGUCGAACUCCCGACCAUUGUCACACUGGACAGCCUUGACAGUGAGGCCAAACUAUGUGGACACCCAAGCGAAAAAGUGGACAAGCGCGGGGAAAGCAUCAGACUUUGCACGUAAAGGAAAAGUCCAGGAAUAAUGAGAAUAAUCAUCCACCACCAUAAGAUAGUAUUUGUAUCCAGAAAUACUGAGGACUGGAGAGGUCCAUAAGUCACAAUGUACAAGGUCAAAAAUGCGGGCCGCAUGAGAAGAACUAUGAAAAGGAAGACGAACAUGACGGCCCAGUUGGCACGCAUGACACAAAUGCUCAUCGUGAGCCCGAGUACAUCGAAUAUCGGAACUACGACUAAGCUGCAUCAAAGCAUCACGUCCAGGAUGGCCGAGACGCCGGUGCCAAGUAGUGGAGGUAGUGGUGGCGAAGGCAGCUGACAAAACUGGCGAAGGAGGUGAGGCAGAUGCCGGAAAGCGAAGAGUGUAAAGGGGCCCCGUGCUAUCACAUCGGAGCAGAGGACGCCGGGAAGCCAAAUCCUUCACAGUAAGACCAGAAGAGUCAAACUCCACAGAACAAGAAUUGUCAGCUGUAAAACGACGAAUAGAAAGAAGAUUGUGAACCAUAGAAGGAGCAACAAGAACAUCAGGAAGAUGAAAGGAACCAUGGGGGCCGGCAGCACCCACAGAGGUGACAGGAAGACAAGACCCAUUUGCGACCAUAAUGGAUGAAGGGAGAGAGGAAGAUGGAGGGUGAACAGAAGAAAGUAUACCGGGGUUAGGAGUGGUGUGGUAAGUAGCCCCAGAGUCGGCGACCCACUCCGGCCCAACAGGAGGUGUCAGGGCCAUGGUGCUGAAGGAGUGCGCCAAGGCCGCCUGGUCCCAGCCGGCCGACCCGGGCAAGGUCGGGGGUGGAGUAGCCCACGAGGACGCAGGGAACGGGGCCACCCACGGGGUCACUGAGGGGAAUCCCGGGGGGGCACCCGCGAGCAUGGCCGCCGGCGGGCGAGGCUCGCCACCGGAAGCCUGGAACGGCCACAUGGAGAUGCGCCCUGACCAUGGGUUGUGGAAGGAUGGCCAGGGUGCACCUCGUGGAGGUGGCGACGUCGUGGUGCCCCCACGACCUGCUCCACGUCCCCCGCCACGACGACGGCGGCCGCCACGGCCCCCCCCACCCCCGCUCGGCCCGGGGGGAAGAGGACCCAGAAGUGACGACUGUGGUGGUGUGGCGUGACGGGGCGGAGGAGUGGCAGCCAGAGCAGUCGAGGAGGACGAGGACCCCGGAGCGGCGGUGGACCCAGGCUGUAGGCCCUGAGUGAGCUCCUCCAUGACUAGAUCGUCACGGACCUGCAGGAAGGUGGGGAAGGGCCGCUGCCGGGUGAUCCACGUCCGGAGGUAGGAGUAACGAUCACUGAGCCCGCGGAGAACGUUGAGGACCAAGAUGCGGUCCUCCACGGGCCAGCCGAGGUCGCCGAGGGAGUCCGCCAUACCCUUCAUCUGGCGGCAGAACUCACUAACGGAGAGGUCGCCCUGGACGCAGGUGCGGAAGCUCGCGUCGAGCCGCAGAGCCCGGGCCUCGGCGUUGCCCAGGAACUGGCCCUCGAGCGCCAGCCAGGCCCCCCGAGCGCUCGGGGUGUUGCGGACGAGGUCGUGGAGGUCCAGGGAGAUCGUCCCCAGGAUCCAGGAGAGGACGAUGCUGUCGAGACGGAGCCACGAAGCGGUCUGGACCGCGGCCACGGCGUCGAGGAGGACGUGGUCGUCGAGGGCGUAGCGGCGGAGGGUGAGGAGGACCAGGUCCCGCCAACGAGCGUAGGAAGGCGACUCGGGCUCGAGUACGACAGGGACCAGGAGCCGGAUGUUCUGAACACCCCCAGCCUGGUAGUGAAGCUGGGUCACGAGCGGGUCGGCCGGAUCGUGCCAGAGAACCGCCGCGGUGUUAGCCACGCGGUGGCCGGCCGAGCCAGAGGACGUGGCCCCGACGUCGGCCGAGGCAGGAAGGCCGAGGAGCUGCUCCGCUUCGGCGAUCUGGCGGGCCAAGGCAUCAGCCGCAUCUCGCUCGCGCUCCCAGGCGAUGGCAGCCUCACGCACGCGGGCCAUGCCCUCUUGCGCCGCGGCCCGGGCAGCAUCAAGGGCGGCAGCGAGGACGGAGUUGGUGGUGUGGGCGGCUGGAGGAGGGGCAGGGAUGACAGACGGGUGCAGGAGGGCGUCGGUGCCCGCGCCCGGCAUCCCCAGCCCAGCAGACAUGGCUGCAGCAGCCCCAGCAGCCAUGGCCGCAGCCAGGGCAUAGACUCCGGACAGGGCACCUGGUGCGUCCUCUGCUGCGACCGUGGCGUCCUCUGCCGCCGCAGGAUCGGUGGUCCUGCCCACAGCCAUGGCGGCUUGGGCAACGGAGGUCUGCAGGCCGUGGCUCCCUGCGGGCGCAGGGCAGGGGUGGUCGACCCCGGCGGGCGGCCCCUGCGGGCGCAGGCCGACCAGCUCGCUCCCUGCGGCCGCAAGGCAGGGGCGGGCGGUCCCUGCGUGCGUCCCCUGCGGGCGCAGGCCGCGCGCGUCCCCUGCAGGUGCCCUCUGCGCGAGCACGCCAGACAGCGGGAGGGGGCCAAGGACGGGCGGUGCCGUCCCGUGGGCACCAGCCGCCGGCGGGCGAGGAGCCAUGGCGGCGGCGGCGGCAGCGAGCUGCGCCCAGGUGUGGGUGGUAGAGAGAGGGGGAAACUGGUGGAAAUAGGAGGGGGGAGGAGGGGGAGGAGGAGGCCGGCCGGCCAUGGAGGUCCGGCGGCGGCGCACGCCGGCCAGGCAGUGGCUGGCGGCGGCGGCUGGUGAGGGAGGAGGAAGGAAGAAACCCUAAUCUGAUACCAUGUUAGAAUGUCUGUUUUUCCAUAAUUGGGCUUACCCUAACCAGGGUGGCCAUAUAGUUAGGGAUACAUGGGCCUCAUGGGCCUAAUACUCAUAUACUCUAACAAUCUACUGUAUGCAGUACCACUGGUUGGUGUAUCCAUAAGUGGUGGCAGGAAAUCAUACAUCUGUAGGGUGAUUACCUAUACAUCUUGUUGUGAGUGUUGAGGUUUUCACUCUUCAUUAACCUGUGGAAGUUAGAUAAUAAAUUAACCAACUAUGGCAAUAAAUUUUAUGUUUUGGCAUAUGGUGCAACUUACAUAUCUUGGCAGUGUUAUCUUUUAAAAGUUUUGAUUACUAAAGUAACAUAUGGAUUAGUCUAACACUCUACCCACUUAUUAGAUAAUAUAUGUUGAUAGCUAACAUAAUGGAGCUUGAAUUUUAAGCCUGAUCAUGCUCUUGUGUGUUGGCUACACUUCUUGGGCAGUUUUAAUUAUCUCUUAUUUGUUCCUGACCUAAGUCUUUCUUAAAGUCAUUACUAUGACUAUGCGAAUUCAUUAGGUUCAUACUUAAAUUCUCUUUAAUUUUAGUGAGGGAGAUGCAAAUAUGUGCAUGGAAAGUGGAAACAGUACCAUUGUUCGCCUAGUACACUAUCUAAAAAAAUAGAGAUGUGAAACGUGUUUGAUUUUAUUUACUUGGAAAACUGUCCAUUUAUAUAUAUUACAUCUGAAUGUACUUCAUAUCAUUUUUAGUAAUUGCUUUUUUUUUUUUUGUGUUGACAGGUCAUGUGAUACUUUACUUGCAAAUCCUGCUACCUCACUUGUGGUCCCUGCAAUUGGGAUUAUUGUGUUUGCUCUGUGGGGUUUUUUGCCUCUAGUGCGUGAUAUUAGAAACCGUUUUGAUGUAUGUGUUCUGCGACAUGUAACCAUAUUGUAUUAUUUUUCAUUUACAUGAUCAUAUACUAGGCUAGCUUUUUCUUGAGGGCAUAUACUACACUAGUUAAAAUAGUUCAUAAUGGACCUUUACAGCAUGGAAGCAACUGGAAGAAGAGCCCUACAUAUUUGAUUUCUUCGUCGUACCUUCAACCUCUACUUCUCUGGACAGGAGCAACACUAAUCUGCAGGUAUAGCUCCACCAUUUUAUAAUGAUCCUUUCUGAAGUGGCAACUCUAGCCACUUGAUAUCAUCGCUGCAAUGCUAUGACCCUGUUUGUAAUAUUGAAAUCAUUCCUGUUUCCAUUGGAAUUGCACUGCAGACAGUCAGUGUUUAUCUGACUGCUAAAUGCUAAACAGUUUGUCACCCAUUUUUUAGCCAACUAAGUUCCUACAAGAUUCAUGUGUUUGAAAUGGGCUAUAAACAUUUUCCUUAGUUUUUGUUUUCUUUUAUUUAUCUUUCUCUUUGUCCAUGCAAUGUCUUGCAGGGGUUUGGAUCCAGUUGUCUUGCCUUCAGCAGCAAGCCAAGCUGUGAAAACACGCCUGAUAACUUUUGUGAGAUCAUUAUCAACUGUCCUAGCUGUUGCAUAUAUUCUCACAAGGUGCACAUGCUACAUCCUCAGAAAAACUUCAGUUGUUUUUUGCAAGUUGUAGCUUUGAUACCUAUUUAAGUUAUGCAAGGCACAUGUUGGAUAUUACAAUUUACAAUUUUGUCCAUGGACGAUUCUUUUCUCCCCAACUUUAGUUUUGUCUAUCAUCUUCAAGUACAAAUGGUUUGCUGGCUACAUAGCAUGAAUGGCAUUGCAUUCUGGUACAACUAGAUAAACUAAUUACCUGUUGGCGAUAGAAUUAUUUACUUAGAAGAUGUGGCCACUGAUGUUAUAUAUCAAAAAAUAUAAAAAACCUUGACCUAGGGGGUGGGUGGGGUAAGACAGGCCAUACACAGCGGCACCGUAGCCCAUGUGAGAACAACCACGACCGGGGCUGGUCCUUAGACCUGUGCUUUGGCGUGCAAUAGACGAGGGGAUUUUAAUACCCAGCCUGAAAAUCGCUCCCACGAGGAGACGAACCUAGGACCUGAGGAGUGCUACUCAAACCACCUAACCAACUCAGCUAGAGGCCCUUUCGCAUAUAUCAAAAAAUAAAGUUGGUGAGAUUGUGAGAAUAAACGGAGAUUAGCUUCAGUUUGUGCUAUACAAAUACAAAUAGAUGAGGAAUAUAUUGGAACUUCUUUGUACUUACAUCUGGGGAAUGCUAGAACUUAUAACUUUAUAAGCAUAAGGUGUUCAGAAAUGAAAUUUACUGAUGUGCUGGUAUAUGUUAGUGCCAUUUUGCGCUAACAUUAUCAAUUGUGUUGUGAUCUGUGUUAAGAUAAUUUUGACAUUGUUUAAGGAAUCAAGGAUGUGAUAUUUGUGGAAUUAUUUGCUUUGCUUUAUUGAACAUAUCCAGAUGAAAUCAAAUAACUAACAUAUUAGUUAAGCUACAAUGGUGUUUCAUGUAUUGCAAUGGUAAGAUGUGCAGAUCCGUGUUAGUCCUUGCUGCCUUGAUUUGUAUGAAAUUUAAGGUGUCUAUCUAUGUUAUCGUGUUGUUUGAUUGAUUUGGUUGCAUUGUGUUCUGUUUUAUUCAGUUUUGUUAACACUAAGAUUGUUUUUCUUCUUUUUAGCUUGAUUCAACAGGUACAGAAGUUUCUUAUGGACAUGCGCAAUCCCAGUGAUGCAAGAAACGUAAGAUCCUUAUAUCGUAACAACUAACAAGUAAAAUCUUGGUAUCUACCAAAGUUCUUUGUUACCCUUUUUCCAUCUGCUAUUUGUUUCUCUUUAUUCACAAAGGUCCUCCCCCUUUGCAAGACACACAAAAACAUAGGAACAUGUUUCACUGAUUAUGGAAUGUAGAACUUUUUUUAAGGAUCUUCUUGAGUCCUAUCUCUUGAUCUCUAAGUAAGGGCUCAGGAGGUGCCAGAUCCAACGUAAUUACUUAUAAUACUUCACUGAGGCCACCCUCUUCUAAAUUCCAUCAGCAGGAAUCUUCUUCCCCGAUGAUUGGUUUACUCCUUCAACUUUGAGUGCCUUAUGACUUUAUGAGGUUUAGGUCAUCACCAGGAACCAAUAAGAAAGACAACAGCGCCCAUGUUAGGCUUACUGCCUUUCGCAAAGAGAGCAAAGAGAAUGAGCAAGAGGCUAUAAUUAGAAGUUAUAAGAAGUGAACAUUUGGGACGAAACAGCAUGCAACACAAGAUCCUAAGUACAAAGCUACUUUUUAUGUAACACAUAAGGUAUUAACAAAAUUAAGAUGCAACUUAAACAAACCAACAAGCUUAGCCAUUAGAAUGAAGGCUGCCAUCAAGGUCAUAUUGCCAGCUGCUAAGCACCACCAACGUGCGCCAGUAGGUUACUUUUUGAUCUGUGAGGAGCUAGAGAAGGGGGAGGCAAAAGUUCCAUGUGGAUGCCACAUCAACAAUUCAUUAUUCAAUAUAUUUAGUUGCCACCUCAAGCUAUCUGGACAUCAUCUGACAAUUUUAGUCAAUGGUGAUCAUGAGAAAGGAUGCCGUGCAAGUCCAGGAUUUGAUAAUUUGAUUUUUAAACGAGGUAGAUAGUUGGAAUCAUGCUAGUUUAUGAACCUAUGUUGCAAUUUUCUCGUGGUGAUAUGAGGGCCCUUCCAAUGCACAAAUUUUCUUGGAGAAGAGAGAAUAUUGAAAGCAAUGGAAUUGCACAGGAAAACAGUAGAUUGAUUAUGGGACAUGGGGGUACAUGUACAUAUAUAGGCAAGGAUGAUUUAGGGGUGGUUUAUGGAAGUAUGACCACCAUCAGAUAUCCUUGCCUAUUAUGAUAGCAAUCAAUCUAUAGAAACCGUAACAGCCUCAAAGGCCCAUGGGCCUAUAGAAGGACCUGCCAACAAGGCCAACCCUAGUGUAUCUGUCUAACAUCUGUCUAAAAAAUAUAUAUAAUGUAUAUUUAGAAUAGCCCUUCCAAUGUAUAGUGUCUAAAUGCCCUAAUCAGCACUACCUUCCUCCAGUUUAGUAUUUUGUUGUCUCUACUCUUCUGGAUUUUGCAGCUAGGCUAUGUCUCUCUUGCAUGAGACAUUGCUGCCCUAUAAACAUUUCCUAACUCCUACCAUGUCACAUUUCAUCUGAAGGGAGAACCUAAAAGUUUCAUGGAUUUGUCCUAGAUUUGCAGUUGGCACUGUUUGUUUGGGACUGAAAUAUAUAUGGAUGUGAGUACAUUGAGGAAGUUAUUGGGCCACUCUUUUCUUCAGUUUUUAAUAUGGAAUUAGAGACUGAAACUUUUGCUUCUCUAUUUGCUAUACUUCUGAGGGCCCAUUUGUUACUUAACCCUACCAAGUCUAGAAAUAAGUAACGAAGUCAAUAUAUUGUUCUGAUAUUUGAAUAGCAUAGAAUAAUAUAGUACAUUUUUUUCCUUCAAACUGCAGUAUUACUUAUGUAAGUUUGUUUCUGGCAGAUGGGGUUUGAUUUUACCAUGAAAGCUCUUUAUACUGGUGUCUGGAUUGCUGCUUUUUCUCUCUUUAUGGAGUUGCUGGGUUUCAAUACCCAAAAGUGGAUAACUGCUGGAGGGUUUGGGACAGUGUUGCUUACACUUGCUGGUCGUGAGGUACUACAAAACAUGUGGCUGAUAUGAUUAAUUUGUGCUGUGGUGCUAAUAUCUAUCAUAAUUUGUUGCAGAUUUUCACUAACUUCCUCUCAAGUGUCAUGAUCAAUGCCACACGCCCAUUUGUAGUCAAUGAAUGGAUCGAUGUAAAGAUAGAUGGUGUUGAUGUCUCUGGCAUUGUUGAGGUAUGCCUUAAUUUAACUUUGGGCUAAACUACACCAUCUAGUUAUGAUAUUAUUUGUAGCAUGAUUUUAUUUGUAUGUACUAUCAGUUUUUCCCGCGGAAGAUUUGGUCAAUACUUUGAAUCAUUUCUCUGACUUGAAGUUAUUUGAUUUGAUUUUCAGCAUGUUGGUUUGUGGUCUCCAACAAUCAUUAGAGGUGUUGAUCGAGAAGCGAUAUACGUUCCUAACCAUAAGUUUACAGUUUCUAUAUUAAGAAAUAACACUCAGAGGACCCAUUGGCGUAUUAAGACCUAUCUUGCUAUUAGCCACAUGGAUGCCGGAAAAAUUGGGGUAAGUACCACAAGGAAUUACUUAACAUAAUCCCCUUCUCUUAUCUGUUCGAUUUUUUCCAGUGUAUUAAAAUUCUAUCUUAGCCAUGCAACUUUGUUUUUCUUUGGCAGACUAUAGUUGCUGACAUGAGGAAAGUGUUGGCAAAAAAUCCACAUAUAGAACAACAAAAGCUGCACAGGAGAGUAUUCUUUGAGAAAAUUGAUCCAAAAAAUCAAGCACUUAUGGUAAUUCCUUACAUCGAAUAAUUCCAUCUUUUAGUUGAAGUACUAUUGCACAAUCAGUCCUUACAUUGGUACAUCUUUUUAGUAUUGGGUUGCAUGCACCAACCUUUUCAACCAAAAUCUUAAGCUAAGCACUGUUACACCGCCUCGCCUAGCACCUGGGCAUUUUGUCUAGGCCUUCUCCACAUAGAUGUGUUUUGGGCAUGAUGUAUGCAUGAAAAUGGGGCAAAUAGAGAUGGAAGAGUUUUUUUUUCUUUUUUCCCCCAAACACGCAGGAGAGCUAUGUAUCAUUAUGUUAAGAAGAAAAAAGGGUAUAAAGAAACCCUUACAACACAUACCUACACACUUCUAAGGAGCGAGGUGCGAAAUACCUCUACUCUAAAUUUCCUUUAUUUAGCAUGGAAUGAAUCUAACUGUCCAUAAAAUGUAUAAACGCUUAGCAAUUCCUGGAUGCUAGGCAGAUCCCAACCGCCUGCCUAGGGCCUAGCACUUUUUGAAACACUGAGUUGUCCACUUGUUUGCAUUCGACUGGUGUCAAUAUCCUGCUUUCAUGCAUAUUUAUCUAUUUGUAUACAUUUUUGGGAUACAAGACUAUAUUGCCUUGUAUUGCUUUUGAGUUUUAUAUUGGCCACCAACUCAGUUGCUUUUUUUUUGUGUGUGUUUCUUGCAGAUUUUAGUAUCCUGCUUUGUAAAGACGUCACAUUUUGAGGAGUUUCUCAAUGUCCAGGUAAUAUGCCUUUCCAUCGUUUGAUAUUUGUCUUGCAAGAAAGCCUAGGAACAUGUUUUGCUGGCAUUCACCUAUGGUGUCUGCUGAAAAUAUAUGGUCUGUCACUCUGGACCCUUAUUUUCUAGCUUGUGUUCUUCAAAUAAAUUACUCAGGUCAGUAGGAAUGCUUAUAGAGUAGAUCAUUUUGACAGUUUCACACAUUGAGUGUCACUAUGUGGAAACUUUCAGAACUAUGAGUAUUUCAGUUUACAGUUUACAGUUUCCUUCCAUUAUGGUGUUAGUGUUCUGAGCAGUUGCCAAGAUGACUGAAAAAAGCAAAUUAAAUCUAGCCAUUCUACCGUACAUCAUUCCAUUCAAGAAAAUAAGAUUUUAAAUAAAUGGGCAUAGAACUGUAUGACUACUUUAGGAUGUCCUAAACUCCUAAUGUUUGAAUCUUGGGCCCAGUAUAUGUGGUUUUACUUGAACUCUGCCAUUGAAUCUUGAUUAUAACAAAGGUUAGGAUGCCAUUUUGGCAUGACAUCCAUUUAAAUCAAAGAAUUUCAGCUUGAUUUUAGGCUUCAUUUUAUAUAAACUAGGAGGCAUCACACCAUGCUAAAAAAAAAUAAACCAUACUAAAAAAAUAAUUAACAUGGGUUUUCUGUGUUCCAAUUACACAGGAAGCUGUUAUGUUGGAUCUUCUUAGAAUAGUUGGGCAUCACAAAGCAAGGCUUGCUACCCAAAUUCGAACAGUUCAGAAAUCAUAUGGCAAUGCAGACUUUGAUAACAUUCCUUUUGGAGAAGACAUGUAUAGUCGUGUCCGUGGCCGUCCACUUCUGAUUGAUACAUCUGCAAGGAUCAGUGAUGACAAACCCAAGCCUCGACCUGUAUCAUCACGUGAGGAGCAUAAAGUCAAGACAAAUGGCUCGGUAGAGAUCAAGUCUGCUUCACCUGAGAAUGCUAGUUUAAGCAACUCUGAAAAGCAGGAACAGAAAAAAAUGGUACCUGAAGAUGCUCGGGCGAAGAAGAUUAAGAGUGAUAAUGUGACACCAGUAACACCGUCUUUAGAUCCUGCUACGUCAACUUCUAAGACUGGUAAAGGGAAGACACGUGAAGCAGAGCCCACUGAGCGGCAAGGUGAUGGGUCAGUCUCGGUGGCUAAUCCAAAGAAAGAAUCUAGACCAGCUUUUGAAGAUAACAUUGUUCUGGGCGUAGCCCUUGAGGGCUCCAAGAGGACACUGCCUAUUGAAGAAGGAAAUCCUUAUCUAUCACUAUCUGAGACUGAGCUGGACAACGAAGAGGCGGCUUCAUCACCGAAGGAUAAGAUAGGUCAAAGCCCAAAACUUUGAGGUCAAGAGAAAAGCCGUUCAGAGGAAUCUCAGAUAGGUCAUCCGAGUUCAAACUGUAUAUCCUUGUGAAGAUUUGUCACCAAGCCUACCUUUUUUGUGCGCUUGUGCAAA
Molecule: long non-coding RNA, 21594 nt
Filed under: Sorghum bicolor (sorghum)
Lineage: Eukaryota; Viridiplantae; Streptophyta; Magnoliopsida; Poales; Poaceae
Description: long non-coding RNA (SBIC_LNC001475)
Source: RNAcentral